RNAcentral lists this transfer RNA (73 nucleotides) under Candidatus Tremblayella princeps. RNAcentral describes it as "Candidatus Tremblaya princeps tRNA-Ile(CAT)". It matches the Rfam family "tRNA". From Rfam's summary of the family: Transfer RNA (tRNA) molecules are approximately 80 nucleotides in length. Their secondary structure includes four short double-helical elements and three loops (D, anti-codon, and T loops). Lineage: Bacteria; Pseudomonadati; Pseudomonadota; Betaproteobacteria. The record is from RNAcentral.
GGCUAGUUGGCUCAGAGGCAGAGCGGCGGGGUCAUAAUCCGCAGGCCCGGUGUUCGGUUCCCCAGACUCGCCA